RNAcentral lists this ribosomal RNA (253 nucleotides) under uncultured bacterium. Its description in RNAcentral is "partial 16S ribosomal RNA". It matches the Rfam family "Bacterial small subunit ribosomal RNA", at positions 524 to 776 of the family's 1533-position model. The record is from RNAcentral.
UACGUAGGGUGCAAGCGUUAAUCGGAAUUACUGGGCGUAAAGCGUGCGCAGGCGGUUAUGCAAGACAGAUGUGAAAUCCCCGGGCUCAACCUGGGAACUGCAUUUGUGACUGCAUAGCUAGAGUGCGGCAGAGGGAGAUGGAAUUCCGCGUGUAGCAGUGAAAUGCGUAGAUAUGCGGAGGAACACCGAUGGCGAAGGCAAUCUCCUGGGCCUGCACUGACGCUCAUGCACGAAAGCGUGGGGAGCAAACAGG